RNAcentral lists this ribosomal RNA (315 nucleotides) under uncultured bacterium. RNAcentral's name for it is "bacterial SSU rRNA". It matches the Rfam family "Bacterial small subunit ribosomal RNA", at positions 541 to 855 of the family's 1533-position model. The record is from RNAcentral.
UUGUCCGGAAUUACUGGGUGUAAAGGGAGUGUAGGCGGGAUAUCAAGUCAGAAGUGAAAAUUACGGGCUCAACUCGUAACCUGCUUUUGAAACUGACAUUCUUGAGUGAAGUAGAGGCAAGCGGAAUUCCUAGUGUAGCAGUGAAAUGCGUAGAUAUUAGGAGGAACACCAGUGGCGAAGGCGGCUUGCUGGGCUUUUACUGACGCUGAGGCUCGAAAGCGUGGGGAGCAAACAGGAUUAGAUACCCUGGUAGUCCACGCCGUAAACGAUGAUUACUAGGUGUGGGGGGAUUGACCCCUUCCGUGCCGGAGUAAA